AGAGUUUGAUCCUGGCUCAGGAUGAAUGCUAGCGGCAGGCUUAACACAUGCAAGUCGAGGGGCAGCGGGGAGGAAGCUUGCUUUCUCCGCCGGCGACCGGCGCACGGGGUGAGUAACACGUAUGCAACCUGCCCCUGUCAGGGGGACAACCCGCCGAAAGGCGGGCUAAACCCGCGUACAUGCCACCGGGGCAUCCCGGAGGCAGGAAAGGCUUCGGCCGGACAGGGAUGGGCAUGCGGCGCAUUAGGCAGUAGGCGGGGUAACGGCCCACCUAACCGACGAUGCGUAGGGGUUCUGAGAGGAAGGUCCCCCACACUGGUACUGAGACACGGACCAGACUCCUACGGGAGGCAGCAGUGAGGAAUAUUGGUCAAUGGUCGGGAGACUGAACCAGCCAAGCCGCGUGAGGGAGGAAGGUACAGAGUAUCGUAAACCUCUUUUGUCAGGGAACAAAGGCGGGGACGUGUCCCCGGAUGAGUGUACCUGAAGAAAAAGCAUCGGCUAACUCCGUGCCAGCAGCCGCGGUAAUACGGAGGAUGCGAGCGUUAUCCGGAUUUAUUGGGUUUAAAGGGUGCGCAGGCGGUCUGUUAAGUCAGCGGUCAAAGCCCGGGGCUCAACCCCGGCCCGCCGUUGAAACUGGCAGUCUCGAGUUGGAGAGAAGUAUGCGGAAUGCGCGGUGUAGCGGUGAAAUGCAUAGAUAUCGCGCAGAACUCCGAUUGCGAAGGCAGCAUGCCGGCUCCACACUGACGCUGAGGCACGAAAGCGUGGGUAUCGAACAGGAUUAGAUACCCUGGUAGUCCACGCAGUAAACGAUGAAUGCUGGCUGUCCGGGGGGAUUGACCCCUGGGUGGCGAAGCGAAAGCGAUAAGCAUUCCACCUGGGGAGUAUGCCGGCAACGGUGAAACUCAAAGGAAUUGACGGGGGCCCGCACAAGCGGAGGAACAUGUGGUUUAAUUCGAUGAUACGCGAGGAACCUUACCCGGGCUCAAACGGGGAGUGACUCAGGCAGAGACGCCUGUUUCCCACGGGACACUCCCCGAGGUGCUGCAUGGUUGUCGUCAGCUCGUGCCGUGAGGUGUCGGCUUAAGUGCCAUAACGAGCGCAACCCCCGCGUGCAGUUGCUAACAGAUAACGCUGAGGACUCUGCACGGACUGCCGGCGCAAGCCGCGAGGAAGGCGGGGAUGACGUCAAAUCAGCACGGCCCUUACGUCCGGGGCGACACACGUGUUACAAUGGGUGGUACAGCGGGAAGCCGGGCGGCGACGCCGAGCGGAACCCGAAAUCCACUCUCAGUUCGGAUCGGAGUCUGCAACCCGACUCCGUGAAGCUGGAUUCGCUAGUAAUCGCGCAUCAGCCAUGGCGCGGUGAAUACGUUCCCGGGCCUUGUACACACCGCCCGUCA
This 1403-nucleotide ribosomal RNA is filed under the name uncultured bacterium. RNAcentral describes it as "16S ribosomal RNA". It matches the Rfam family "Bacterial small subunit ribosomal RNA". The record is from RNAcentral.